GACGAACGCUGGCGGCAUGCCUAAUACAUGCAAGUUGAACGAUGAUAUUCUCUGCUUGCCGAGAAUUGAAGAGUAGCGAACGGGUGAGUAACACGUGGGGAACCUGCCCAUGAGAGGGGGAUAACAUUCGGAAACGGAUGCUAAUACCGCAUAAGGCUUGGGACGGCCUGGUCCAGAGCCGAAGGAGGGUUUUUGCUUUCACUCAGGGUGGGCCCCGCGCCGUAUUAGCUAGUUGGUGAGGUAAUGGCUCACCAAAGCUGUGAUACGUAGCCGACCUGAGAGGGUGAUCGGCCACACUGGGACUGAGACACGGCCCAGACUCCUACGGGAGGCAGCAGUAGGGAAUCUUCCACAAUGGGCGAAAGCCUGAUGGAGCAAUGCCGCGUGAAUGAAGAAGGUCUUCGGAUCGUAAAGUUCUGUUAUUAGAGAAGAACAAGUCAAGGAGUAACUGUCGUGACUUUGACGGUACCUAACCAGAAAGUCACGGCUAACUACGUG
RNAcentral lists this ribosomal RNA (498 nucleotides) under uncultured bacterium. RNAcentral describes it as "partial 16S ribosomal RNA". It matches the Rfam family "Bacterial small subunit ribosomal RNA", at positions 28 to 507 of the family's 1533-position model. The record is from RNAcentral.